RNAcentral lists this ribosomal RNA (487 nucleotides) under uncultured bacterium. Its description in RNAcentral is "bacterial SSU rRNA". It matches the Rfam family "Bacterial small subunit ribosomal RNA", at positions 501 to 987 of the family's 1533-position model. The record is from RNAcentral.
CUACGUGCCAGCAGCCGCGGUAAUACGGAGGAUGCGAGCGUUAUCCGGAAUCAUUGGGUUUAAAGGGUCCGUAGGCGGGCUAAUAAGUCAGAGGUGAAAGCGCUCAGCUCAACUGAGCAACUGCCUUUGAAACUGUUAGUCUUGAAUGGUUGUGAAGUAGUUGGAAUGUGUAGUGUAGCGGUGAAAUGCUUAGAUAUUACACAGAACACCGAUAGCGAAGGCAUAUUACUAACAAUUAAUUGACGCUGAUGGACGAAAGCGUGGGGAGCGAACAGGAUUAGAUACCCUGGUAGUCCACGCUGUAAACGAUGUAUACUAGUUGUUGCUAAGCUAGUCUUGGCAGUAAUGCACCUAACGGAUUAAGUAUACCGCCUGGGGAGUACGGUCGCAAGAUUAAAACUCAAAGGAAUAGACGGGGACCCGCACAAGCGGUGGAUGAUGUGGAUUAAUUCGAUGCAACGCGAAGAACCUUACCUGGUCUUGACAU